Molecule: ribosomal RNA, 470 nt
Filed under: uncultured bacterium
Lineage: Bacteria
Description: bacterial SSU rRNA
Rfam family: Bacterial small subunit ribosomal RNA
Source: RNAcentral
CCAGACUCCUACGGGAGGCAGCAGUGGGGACUUUUGGACAAUGGGCGCCCGCCUGAUCCCGCUCUUCCGCGUGUGGGCUGACGGCCCUCGGGUUGUAAACCCCUUUCGUAGAGACCGCCCCGGAGCUAUCGCCUCAAUAGCUCUGCUGACGGUACUCUCCGCCUAAGCACCGGCUCACUACGUGCCAGCGGCCGCGGUCCUCCGUAGGGUGCGCGCGUUAAUCGGAAUUACGGGGCGUAAAGGGUGGGCAGGCGGCUGAGGAAGACAGAUGUGAAAGCCCCGGGCUUAACCUGGGAACCGCAUAUGUGGCUGCUUGGCUAGAGGGCGGCAGAGGGAGGGGGAAUUCCACGGGGAGCAGUGAAAUGCGGAGAUAUGUGGAAGAACACCGAUGGAGAAGGCAGCCUCCUGGGACGCAACUGACGCUCAUACACGAAAGCGUGGGGGGCAAACAGGAGUAGAUACCCUCGUAU